AUGGCAAUAUCAUAUUGAAACACUAGUUCCUGAAUGAUCUCUGAAGCUAAGCAAUAUCAAGCCUGGUCAGUAGCUGGAUGAGUGACCACUUGGAAAUAACAGGUGCUGUAAG
Non-coding RNA from Acanthosepion pharaonis, 112 nucleotides. Lineage: Eukaryota; Metazoa; Mollusca; Cephalopoda; Sepiida; Sepiidae. The record is from the annotation of a GenBank genome assembly.